CACCACUCCAGCCUGGCUGGGUGUUGGGCGCCGCGGUCCGCCGCGCGCCUUAAAGUCUUUCCGGCUGAGCGACCUGUCUCCAAGCGUUGUGAUUCAUCAUUCGCGGCGAGGGAGGGCGACGGCGGCCGUUAAAUCUUCUCACAA
This 144-nucleotide unclassified non-coding RNA is filed under the name uncultured Capnodiales. Its description in RNAcentral is "sequence contains ITS2". Lineage: Eukaryota; Fungi; Ascomycota; Dothideomycetes; Capnodiales. The record is from RNAcentral.